GACGAACGCUGGCGGCGUGCUUAACACAUGCAAGUCGAACGGUGAAGGGGUCUGCUUUUGUGGGCCCUGGAUGAGUGGCGAACGGGUGAGUAACACGUGAGUAACCUGCCCCCUUCUUCUGGAUAACCGCAUGAAAGUGUGGCUAAUACGGGAUAUUCUGGGUCUGUCGCAUGAUGGGUCUGGGAAAGAUUGCGCCUUUGGGUGUUUUUGGUGGGGGAUGGGCUCGCGGCCUAUCAGCUUGUUGGUGGGGCGAUGGCCUACCAAGGCGGUGACGGGUAGCCGGCCUGAGAGGGUGGACGGUCACACUGGGACUGAGACACGGCCCAGACUCCUACGGGAGGCAGCAGUGGGGAAUAUUGCACAAUGGGCGCAAGCCUGAUGCAGCGACGCCGCGUGAGGGAUGGAGGCCUUCGGGUUGUAAACCUCUUUCGCCAGUGAAGCAGGCCUGCUCCUUGUGGGUGGGUUGACGGUAGCUGGAUAAGAAGCGCCGGCUAACUACGUG
RNAcentral lists this ribosomal RNA (502 nucleotides) under uncultured bacterium. RNAcentral describes it as "partial 16S ribosomal RNA". It matches the Rfam family "Bacterial small subunit ribosomal RNA", at positions 28 to 507 of the family's 1533-position model. The record is from RNAcentral.